Non-coding RNA from Oryctolagus cuniculus (rabbit), 5647 nucleotides. NCBI's taxonomy places the organism in Eukaryota, Metazoa, Chordata, Mammalia, Lagomorpha, Leporidae. The record is from RefSeq and is a predicted model, not a curated record.
GGAGAGCAGCCUGAACCAGAUCCAGGAACAGGCAGGAAUCCUGGUGGGGCAGGGGAACCUGUUCAGCAACACCGCUGGGCUACAGUAAGAAAAAUUCUGAUUGUGUGAGACUCUGCGGGACGAAGACCAUGAUUUCUACAAAAUACCGCAAGGAAAUUGAGGGUAAGGGGAAAGGGGACCUGCACGCCACAGAUCAGACGGACCUGGGCUUCCACAUGGCAGGGUACCUGGCUUCAGAUGUCAUCUCCCACUGCAGACAAAACGUCCAAGACCGGACUUGCCAGGGGUUCUACGCCCCAGGCCCCUCUGAUGGGGGAGGGGCAGCAUGCGACCUGAGCGCCGAGCCUCUCUCUCUGGUUCUGGUUUGGGUGCUGGGAGGUGAGGUCAGGUGUAGAGUGUGCGCUCACUGCAGCCUGGAGGCAGAGCCUGGAGUUUGGGGCUCUGAGGAAGAAGGCUCAGUGACUAUGACCCUGCCAGGGAGGGGACUGCACAGAGAAGGGGCCAAGCAGAGCUCGGGAGGAGGCUGUGUGGGUGCUUAGCCGAGGGCUGGACUUCUAACGUUCACAGGAGGCCUUUGCAGGGAGACCUUUUGGAAACAGCCACUGAAACUUCUACAUCCACUGAGGUUUCUUUUCUCUGAAAAUGUACUUGAAAGGCAGAGUGAUGGAGAGAAAGGCGAGGCAGAAGGAUUCUCCAUCUACUGGUUCACCCCCUGAAUACCCACAACAGCCAGUGCCAUACCAGGCUGAAGCCAGGAACCCGGAACUCUGUCCAGGCCUCCCAGGACACCUUGGCAGGAAGCUGGGCUGAAUGAGCAGUGGCCGGACUCACACCAGCACUCUGAUGUGGGAUGUGACAUCCCAAGCAAGCGGCCUCACCUGCUGCACCACGACGCCGGCCCCAUCCAAGGAAACACAUCUUGUUAAAAUGAAGGUGAAAUAAAGACAUUUCCAGAUACAUAAAACAGAGACUCAUUCCCAACACAUCAGGGCAAUGCAAUUUCAGCCCACAAUGAGAUGCAGUUACUCAUGUGAAUGGCUCAAGUUAAAAAAAAAAGCAAGAUAAAUCCUGGGGAGGAUGUGGCAGGUGCCACACUCCUCAUUUGCUGUUGGGGACAGAAGUGGCACGACACAUUGCCAGCCUCGCAGUUUCUUACCAAGUUGGAUAUCCCCCAUCUCCUACGACCCAGAAAUCCCACUAUGAGGCCCUGGCCAGAGGAAAAUGCAAGCACAGUGCCACAAAAAGACAGCCCACUCAGCUUAGUCAUUACCGCUGAAGCCCAGGGCCCAUCCACGAGGCAUUCUCCAACAGGACACGCCUGUGUCAGUCAUGUGGUGGACAUGCAGGAAACACAAGGGAGCAAGAAACAAUGAUAUCCUAUUGGGUGAAUCUCAGAAACACCACACUGGGUGAAAUCAGUGCAUUCCGGUACCGCCCAAUUCCGUUUGUGAGAACUUCUGGGACGAGGACUCCGACAACAGAAAUCAGUGCAGCUUCUCCUGCGGGCUGGUUGGUGGGAAGAUGGAUAAGUGGGGAAGCAGGAAUUUGGGUGGGGGAGACAGAAACCUUUUAUAUGUUGAUUGACGUGUGUGGUUCACACAAAGUAUCUACAUCUGCCAAAAUGCUAGAGCUGUACACUCAGUGUCUGUCCACUUCAUCAUGUGUAAACUUUUUGCCCUGAUUAAAAAAAAAAAUUAACCAACCAAAGGCAUCGUCUAGGGCCCUGCGGCCCUGAUUUGGAUAAAACGCUUUUGGGAGGCAUUUGGAGAACCCGGAUACUGAACAUCCGAUGACGCUCAGGAAGGAGCGGCGGCCCGAGCAGCCCCUAAGGGAGCCAGUGGUGAGCUUCUAUUAAAAGGGACCUCGUCCGUUUGCCAUACACACUGGGAUGUUUGUGGGGAAGGGACAAGGUUUGCUUUAAAAUCCCCGGCGGGGGUGGGUAAGGUGCCUCGGUGUCCCGGGGGUGCGGAGGACGCCCCGCAGCCGCGAAUGUCGGUUGGUAAUACGGCUCAGGUACGCGGGGCUUAAGCUUUUCCACGAACCGGGUUGUAAGUCACGUGUCGCAAACAGUAAGAACUCGAGGUACGCGCAGCAGGAGCGGGGCUCUCCGGCGCGGGGUGCAGUAGGCAGGUAAGGGUGCCUUCGGUCUGCAGGCGCAAGUGGAGCCCGCCUCCUGCCUCGCCACGUGGCCCCCGAGGCUGAGGCUGGAAGCCCGCCCGGCCUAACUCCAGGCCGUGCGCAGGGGCACGGCCGCGCCCCCAGCCUGCCCCCUCACAGCCAGGCGGACCCGGCGCCGCCCCUGGAAAGGGAGUCUCCAUCGACGGUUAGGCACGGGAGCUGCUGACACUCCAAGCAGUUGCCCAGCUACCGGCUUCUUUUAAAAGCGCAACAAGGCCACCUGCUGAGCCGAGGGGCCCUCAGCAGAGGCCGAGGCGCCGGCGUCCCCAGCGCCCACCCGGCCCGAGCUCCCGCAGCGACCCCUCCCCUGCGCCGCGGGCCGGGUCCGCCGCCAGCGCCGAGCGCGCAGGGCAAACUGGAGCCCACGCGGGCCCCGGAGCGCGAUGGCUGGGGCCGCGGCGCCAUCUGGCGACCGACUGGGGCAAGGCCACCUCGCGUUCGGGUGGAAACGCCGGCGCCGUGGUGCGGCCCGCGCGCGGUGGGUGCGCAGCCCGAGCGUCGUGCUGCAGGCGUCGGAGCGGAGCUGGCGUCGACCUCCGUUCUAGCAGGGCCGCGCUCGUGCAGCCUCACGCGGAAGACCGGUCCCUCUUUCCACCUGGCGGUUACGCCCCAAGCUGCGCACUUCCCCGGGAUGUGCAGACCCGGGCAACCUGUGCCCUUGCUGGCAGCCUGCACAGGGUACAGAGAGGGCACCGGGGACUCUGCUCGGAUUCCUGGAGCCGAGUCUUCCUCAAACACCAUCACAUGAAGGCGCUGAAAGAACAGAAGAGCGAUUCUGUUCCAAGUAUCAUGGGCGGAUGUCUCUCACUUGUCUCGUGAAACACCAGGUCAUUACAAUGCUGCUAUUUAGAUGACGCUACUGCUGUUACUACUAUUAUUCUUUGGAAACUCCAGCCUGUAACUACAAACUUACUGAUUUGGAAACUUGGGGCAAAGGUGUCCAAUUAGCAAUUCUAUGUUUUAGGCAUCUUGUGUAUUACAUGUCAGGCAUUGUGUUAAAAAGAUAAAUAAGAGGGUUUGUGUGGUCCACAGGCACACAGCCUGCAGGGGAGAGAAUUCCAGGAGGCGGCUUAGUACUCCAGUAGGUUUCCCCCGGCUAUUUAGAGUAAUAGAAUACUCCACCAUCAAAAUCACCAUUGUAGCAACCACAGUUCCCAGUGACCAUGUGAGGAUGGGAUAUGGAAAGGAAUGAACCCCAUUUUGGCCAAGUUCUAGCUGGAUGCUGGUGGAGAUGUUCUUUAGGUUAACGCUGAGUAAAGAUCACACCGGGAGAAGGAUGCACAGCGCGAGGCUGGCUGUUUGCACGCUUGCUCUGAGUGCCUGGUCUGUGUUUGGCACGAGGCACUGCGGGUCUCUCUCAGUCUAGCCGAUCACCUUGCAGCCGGGGCAUGCAGUGACCCCCAUGCUGGCCAGGGCCGAGGUGAGCCGGCAAGGCACCUGGUGUGUGUAACCCGGGCAGUGCCCCUCUCAGGGGCUGGCUCUGCACUUGAACAGCCCUGCAGUGGAUGGCUGCCUCACCCAGCCCUGGUCCCCAUUUCACAAAGUGGUGGAUGCAGUGAGGUUAGGAGAUGCCUCCACAAGCACACGGCUGGGAUGUUUCGGACCUGAGGUGUGGACCCCACAGUCUUGUCUGACACUGGAGUCUCACUCCUGAUGCAUUUUGUGGUCUGUCCUGUCUCUAGGAGUCCCUGGCCCAGGUGCUGACUUUUGUUUUAUGGCUAGCCUGUGUGCGUGUGUGUGUGUGUGUGUGUGUGUAUGCAGUGUCUCCAUUCUUGGCAGAUUAUUUCAUUACAAAGCAGUGGAGGGAAGUCAGGGUCACCUGUUUGAGGUGCUUUGCGCUAAGAAGAACAAUAACAACACAGUUGUCCCUUCCUAUCUGUUGAUUCUACAGCCACAGACUCAACCAAGCGUGGGUCAGAGAUAAUUGGGAAACAGCUGCAUCUGUGCUGAGCAACCACAAUUCAAUAUGACAAUUCAAUAUGACAACGACUUACAUCGUAUUAGGCCUCGUAAGCAGUCUAGGGAUGAUAGGAGGUACGCAGGAGGAGGUGCCUGGGCUGUUCGCUAGCACUACAUCAUUUAUGUAAGGGACUCGAGCGUCCGAGGAUUUGGGUGUCCAAGAGGGUGCUGGAACACUGACUUGGGAUUCUUCUGAGUCUUACAUGAGACCAAAUGAACCGAGCACCCUGGAAUUCGUCCGUUGGCUUUGCGCCACCCAGUACCCACAAUGUGGCUGUGCUUUGCCGGGAGGGCCUUUGAAGAGAUAAUUCAGGAAAAAUGAGGUCACCAUGGGGGCCCUAACAGGGCAUCACUGGGUCCUCGGAGGAAAAGGCUGGAGCCCUGACGGACAGAGAGGAAAGGCCAUUAGACACAGGGAGAAGACGCCAUCUGCGAGCCAGGGAGGCGGGGCUACACCUGCGCUGCAAUGUCCAGGCUCCAAAACUGCAGGAAGAAAUGAAGUGUUCUCAACACCAGUGAGGUCCCCAGCCGAAUCCAAUCUCCAACAGUUUAGCAUGGAUUUCAGGAGCUGGCUGCAGUGGGUUCGCUGGGUAGACAAGCGAUUGGGAAGAGGGGCUCUGAGCUGGCAGCCGCUGUUUGGACCUUUGCCAGCCUCGAGCUGUGUGUGUCAGGCGCAUCACUUGACCUCUGAGCCACAGGUGCUCGUCUGUCAACGGGCUUCGGAAGCUUCAGUGCAAUAGAGCCUUGAGAAACGGGCCAGAGAACACAGGUCAAGUGCUUUGCAAGGGUCUGGCAAAGCAGAAGGCGCAUCAGAGUUUUUGCAUGAAUGAUCACGACUCUGAUACAUCGGUAUCAUGAGAGUGCUUCUCGGUGCUGAAAUAUCUCACACAGCAUCACAACACGGAAGGAAAACACCAUGGUUUCUAUUUUCUGGUUGCUUCAGUUCCGGACAGAAAGGACGUCGACUUGUGGGUAGGAGUUCUCCAUCGUACGCGUCUCUCCUUCAGAGGCAGCUUCGGUUGUUCAAACCAGAGCAGGUUUGAAAACUACAUUUCCUCUUUCUCCUUCUUUAGAAGGAAAUCUUUUAGAAGAUUCUGACUGCUGCUCACUUCUCGUGGAAGCAGCCCCGGGAGCAGAAGUCUCGCCGGCGUCUGCGCACGUUCAGUCACAGCGGCCGGGACUCUCUGGUUUGGCAUUCCGGUUCUGCUGCCGCCGCCGUGAGUUGUCUCCCAGGGCCUCAUCUGCUCUGAGCUCUGACACCCACUUGUCCCCUCUGUACCAGGGCUGGAUGUGAGGGUCUAUCUGUGGACUCCAGCCUGGCGUAUACGGAGAGGCGCUUACGUGGGCGUUUAGCUGGUAGAAGCGAUUCAUUUUCUCAGAAAGCAGCCCUAGUGAUUAAUGCAUGUGGCAACCAGAGAGCAGCUUGUUCAAGUCAACCCAGCUAAGAGGAGUCAACUACGGGGCAGGAAGACCCAGGUGCCGUUUCGUUUUCCUGUUGCGAGCACGUGAA